This 252-nucleotide ribosomal RNA is filed under the name uncultured bacterium. Its description in RNAcentral is "partial 16S ribosomal RNA". It matches the Rfam family "Bacterial small subunit ribosomal RNA", at positions 526 to 779 of the family's 1533-position model. The record is from RNAcentral.
CGUAGGGGCAAGCGUUGUCCGGAAUCAUUGGGCGUAAAGAGCGUGUAGGCGGCCUGAUAAGUCGGCUGUGAAAGUCAAGGGCUCAACCCUUGAAUGCCGGCCGAUACUGUCAGGCUAGAGUCCGGAAGAGGCGAGUGGAAUUCCUGGUGUAGCGGUGAAAUGCGCAGAUAUCAGGAGGAACACCUAUGGCGAAGGCAGCUCGCUGGGACGGUACUGACGCUGAGACGCGAAAGCGUGGGAGCGAACAGGAUU